UUCUAGUAGGGAAGGGAGCCGUGGUGGUUAGGACAUCUGCUCCCUUCUCAGAGCCAGAGGAAGGAGUCCUGUGAUGCCUGAAACCUGGAUUUGGGGACCUUCUGGGGCAGCAAGCAGAGCUGACAAGCACUUCCCACUCCCAGCUGUACAGAUGUCAGACCAGCAAUCUACGCCCUUGUCGAGGUGGCCCCACACAGCUUCUCAUGGCAUCUCCGCUGCAGGGUCUCUGGACCUCAGGACCCUUCAGCCAGCUCUGCUCUCAGUUUCUGCACUACUCGGACAUUGUUCUCCCUCUGCCACUGAGGAUUUGUCUGUAUAACAGCCGAGUUUCCAGAAGUUCAUUCACUCAGGAUUGUGUAAGCACCUAAGUCCCUGAAUUAAGCCCCUUGGCAUCUACGUGGAAUACCCCGAAGAGAUUCUGCCAUUAGAAGAGUUUUCUGAACCUUGACUGGGUGCAUGGCCUGAGGACUUUGCUACUGUGAGGUUGACCCCUGCUGGGCAGCAGUGAUGGCAGAAGCCUCAAACGGGACAGCUUCAUUUUGGGAAAUGACACUAAAAGGCGAGAAUGGAGGAGCAAUGAUUUGGAAGGAACCUAAGUCCUUGAGUGAUCAUGAGGAGCAGAGAUGCCCUGCUUACCUCCACCUUUCACAGAGGCAAGAGAAAGAAACUUUCUUGUUCAUUUGGCUGUUACAUGAUUGGGUGACGGAAAGGUGUCAGCCUCUCAGCUCAAACUAGUUUGUGAUUGCUCUUCUUCAGAACAGAUGACUCAGCUGAGGAAUCAAACAGCCAAGGGGCAGAAAAUUACAGUUGGUGUUGGUGGAGGGAAGCAGGUCUGAA
This is a long non-coding RNA of Bos taurus (domestic cattle), 837 nucleotides long. Lineage: Eukaryota; Metazoa; Chordata; Mammalia; Artiodactyla; Bovidae. The record is from Ensembl.